UGGUGGAGUGAUUUGUCUGGUUAAUUCCGUUAACGAACGAGACCUCAGCCUGCUAAAUAGUCGAGCGAAUCACAACGAAAGUUUGAUUCGUGUACCAUUCUGUCGACUUCUUAGAGGGACUGUCUGUAUCUAGCAGAAGGAAGUGUGAGGCAAUAACA
This 158-nucleotide ribosomal RNA is filed under the name uncultured eukaryote. RNAcentral's name for it is "partial 18S ribosomal RNA". It matches the Rfam family "Eukaryotic small subunit ribosomal RNA", at positions 1299 to 1458 of the family's 1831-position model. The record is from RNAcentral.